GGUUAAGCGACUAAGCGUACACGGUGGAUGCCCUGGCAGUCAGAGGCGAUGAAGGGCGUGCUAAUCUGCGAUAAGCGCCG
RNAcentral lists this ribosomal RNA (80 nucleotides) under Salmonella enterica. RNAcentral's name for it is "partial 23S ribosomal RNA". It matches the Rfam family "Bacterial large subunit ribosomal RNA", at positions 1 to 80 of the family's 2925-position model. The record is from RNAcentral. Lineage: Bacteria; Pseudomonadati; Pseudomonadota; Gammaproteobacteria; Enterobacterales; Enterobacteriaceae. RNAcentral also lists the same sequence under 2 other names.